This 486-nucleotide ribosomal RNA is filed under the name uncultured bacterium. RNAcentral describes it as "partial 16S ribosomal RNA". It matches the Rfam family "Bacterial small subunit ribosomal RNA", at positions 30 to 507 of the family's 1533-position model. The record is from RNAcentral.
AUUGAACGCUGGCGGCAUGCCUUACACAUGCAAGUCGAACGGCAGCACGGGUGCUUGCACCUGGUGGCGAGUGGCGAACGGGUGAGUAAUACAUCGGAACAUGUCCUGUAGUGGGGGAUAGCCCGGCGAAAGCCGGAUUAAUACCGCAUACGAUCUACGUAUGAAAGCGGGGGACCUUCGGGCCUCGCGCUAUAGGGUUGGCCGAUGGCUGGUUAGCUAGUUGGUGGGGUAAAGGCCGACCAAGGCGACGAUCAGUAGCUGGUCUGAGAGGACGACCGGCCACACUGGGACUGAGACAGGGCCCAGACUCCUACGGGAGGCAGCAGUGGGGAAUUUUGGACAAUGGGCGAAAGCCUGAUCCAGCAAUGCCGCGUGUGUGAAGAAGGCCUUCGGGUUGUAAAGCACUUUUGUCCGGAAAGAAAUCCUUGGCCCUAAUACGGUCGGGGGAUGACGGUACCGGAAGAAUAAGCACCGGCUAACUACGUG